This 491-nucleotide long non-coding RNA is filed under the name Chrysolophus pictus (golden pheasant). RNAcentral's name for it is "lncRNA (ENSCPIG00010001717.1)". Lineage: Eukaryota; Metazoa; Chordata; Aves; Galliformes; Phasianidae. The record is from RNAcentral.
UGAAAGCUGAGUUUCAGAGCCUGCUGUGCUCAAAGUCACUUUUAAACCAACUCUUCACUUUGUGGCACGGAUGUAGCCUGAGGGUUUCAGCAUGCUGAAGGCACACAGCUGAGUGCCUGAGGACUGCUUACAUCACCUAACACGACCUCAGUGGUCAAUCUGUGGUUAGCACUGAGUCACAGUGAGCAUUUAAAACCACUUGCUCUGGUGGGCUCCUGCUUACUUUCACUAGCGACACGUGCUGCAAAACUGAAACCAACAAAGGUUUUGCCUCAGAAGAGGAGAAGGCAGGGAGAAGCAAGAGUGAACAAGUUGAAUGUGAAAUCAGUGCUGCUGUGGAGUAUAAAGAACCAAUGACUGAAGAAAUCUACUUUGGAACACACCCUGAAAGAAUUGUGGUUCUGCUGUAUGGAUCUGAGAAGCCCCGCUCUGCAGAGAGGAUACUAGCAGUUGAACAGUGCUGUUGCUGUCAGUGGGAUUACUUAUGCUGA